RNAcentral lists this unclassified non-coding RNA (137 nucleotides) under soil metagenome. RNAcentral's name for it is "partial internal transcribed spacer 1". The record is from RNAcentral.
AAGAGUUGCAAAACUCCCACAAACCAUCGCGGACGUUACCCAGACGUCGUUGCUUCGGCGGGCUCGCCCGCCGGGGGGACGCUACCAGACUCUUGCAGUUCUUCGGCCUCUCUGAGUAUGAUUUUUUAAAUAAGUCA